UGCAUUUCUGUUCUACAGCACUCCAGGACAGAAUUCAAAAAUUCAUCAAAAACCUGGCUGGUGGUGAGAGGAUUGUGGACAAAGUGGAAUACAGUAUGUCAUAUAAUCUUCUGAGGUCUUCCAAGGAAACAUGAGAGCUCAGUACAAAUAUAACCUCACUUGUGAUUUACAAAAAUACAGUGGGCUAUAGGGAACUGGGAGGAAAAGGGAGGAAGGCCUAUGUAAAUAGGAUUAUGAUGCAAUGUGACCCCAAAAGCUUUAAUUGAAAUGUUUUUUCUAUUAAGAAAACCAAAUGUUAUACUCAAACUCAAAAUAUUACAUUUUUCAGGUAAUCCACCAGUGGCCAGUCACAUGUGACAAAGAUAAGUUGCACAGUCUUUCUUACCUCUUGUAAGUUCGGAUGUGACUCAUGAGACCAAUGCGAGAGCCAUACAAGUGGAGAUAGUGGGAACACUGCCAGGCUGCUGUGGGAGGGUUCUGAGCUGCAGGUUUCCUCUUCCCUCUGGCACUGGACUUCUCAGGAGGAAGGAAGGAAAAAAGAGAGCUGCACAAGAAAAUCUGUGUGGGAAGGCUUCUUAAGGCUUUUAAGUGGGAAAGUCAUUGCACUGAGGCAAUCCCACUCUCAUGCUCACCAAAGUUUUGAUCCAGUAGUACAAAGAGUUGUCACACCUGGA
RNAcentral lists this long non-coding RNA (674 nucleotides) under Scleropages formosus (Asian bonytongue). RNAcentral's name for it is "lncRNA (ENSSFOG00015032709.1)". The record is from RNAcentral. Lineage: Eukaryota; Metazoa; Chordata; Actinopteri; Osteoglossiformes; Osteoglossidae.